UACGAGAGGGGCAAGUGUUGUUCGUAUUGACUGGGCGUAAAGGGCAUGUAGGCGGUUAACUAAGCAUUUUGUUAAAUGCUGUUUUUUAUACAGAAAAACUUUUUGUACUAGUUAACUCGAGUUGAGCUCAGGAGCAUAGAAUUCUUUUUUAGGGUUAAAAUCCGCCUGAAAAAAUGAAAAAUGCCAUUUUAGUGAAGACGUUACUCUGGAGCCAACUGACGCUGAGGUGCGAAAGCGUAGGGAGCAAAUAGG
Molecule: ribosomal RNA, 252 nt
Filed under: uncultured bacterium
Lineage: Bacteria
Description: partial 16S ribosomal RNA
Rfam family: Bacterial small subunit ribosomal RNA
Source: RNAcentral